This 723-nucleotide ribosomal RNA is filed under the name uncultured bacterium. RNAcentral describes it as "bacterial SSU rRNA". It matches the Rfam family "Bacterial small subunit ribosomal RNA", at positions 100 to 839 of the family's 1533-position model. The record is from RNAcentral.
GGACGGGUGAGUAACGCGUGAGGAACCUGCCUUGAAGAGGGGGACAACAGUUGGAAACGACUGCUAAUACCGCAUAACGCAUAGGGGUCGCAUGAUCUUUAUGCCAAAGAUUUAUUGCUUCAAGAUGGCCUCGCGUCUGAUUAGCUAGUUGGCGGGGUAACGGCCCACCAAGGCGACGAUCAGUAGCCGGACUGAGAGGUUGAACGGCCACAUUGGGACUGAGAUACGGCCCAGACUCCUACGGGAGGCAGCAGUGGGGAAUAUUGGGCAAUGGGCGCAAGCCUGACCCAGCAACGCCGCGUGAAGGAAGAAGGCUUUCGGGUUGUAAACUUCUUUUAAGAGGGAAGAGUAGAAGACGGUACCUCUAGAAUAAGCCACGGCUAACUACGUGCCAGCAGCCGCGGUAAUACGUAGGUGGCAAGCGUUGUCCGGAUUUACUGGGUGUAAAGGGCGUGCAGCCGGGUCUGCAAGUCAGAUGUGAAAUCCAUGGGCUCAACCCGUGAACUGCAUUUGAAACUGUAGAUCUUGAGUGUCGGAGGGGCAAUCGGAAUUCCUAGUGUAGCGGUGAAAUGCGUAGAUAUUAGGAGGAACACCAGUGGCGAAGGCGGAUUGCUGGACGAUAACUGACGGUGAGGCGCGAAAGUGUGGGGAGCAAACAGGAUUAGAUACCCUGGUAGUCCACACUGUAAACGAUGAAUACUAGGUGUGCGGGGACUGACCCCC